RNAcentral lists this ribosomal RNA (518 nucleotides) under Phylladiorhynchus bahamut. RNAcentral describes it as "partial large subunit ribosomal RNA". Lineage: Eukaryota; Metazoa; Arthropoda; Malacostraca; Decapoda; Galatheidae. The record is from RNAcentral.
GUCUGUAUGAAGUUAUAUAUGGUUUAGCCUGCCCACUGAGAUAUUUAAAGGCCGCAGUAUACUAACUGUGCAAAGGUAGCAUAAUAAUUUGUUUUUUAAUUGGAAGCUUGAAYGAAUGGUUGGACGAAGAAAAAUCUGUUUCUAGUUUAGAUUUAAAAUUUUACUUUUAAGUUAAAAGGCUUAAAUAUUUUUAAAAGACGAUAAGACCCUAUAAAACUUUAUAAAAAUUUUUUAUUUGUUUUUUUUUUUGUGCUAAGACCAAAAAUAUUAGUUUUUAUUAUGUUGGGGAGACAGGAAUAAAAGUUAUAUUGAACUGUUCUUAUUUUAAGACAAAAAUGAUUGGGAGGGAGAAAAGAUCUUCUACUUAGAGAUUGAAAGUUAAAGUUACUUUAGGGAUAACAGCGUAAUUUUUUUAGAGAGUUCUAAUCGAAAAAAAAGUUUGCRACCUCGAUGUUGAAUUAAAAUUUCUUUUUGGUGUAGCAGUUAAAAAAGUAAGUCUGUUCGACUUUUAAAAUUUU